UACGGAGGGUGCAAGCGUUAUCCGGAUUCACUGGGUUUAAAGGGUGCGUAGGUGGGUUGGUAAGUCAGUGGUGAAAGCCUGCAGCUUAACUGCAGAAUUGCCAUUGAUACUGAUGGUCUUGAGUACACUUGAGGUGGGCGGAAUGUGUCAUGUAGCGGUGAAAUGCUUAGAUAUGACACAGAACACCGAUUGCGAAGGCAGCUCACUAAAUUGUAGCUGACGCUGAUGCACGAAAGCGUGGGGAUCAAACAGG
RNAcentral lists this ribosomal RNA (253 nucleotides) under uncultured bacterium. RNAcentral describes it as "partial 16S ribosomal RNA". It matches the Rfam family "Bacterial small subunit ribosomal RNA", at positions 524 to 776 of the family's 1533-position model. The record is from RNAcentral.